This 84-nucleotide non-coding RNA is filed under the name uncultured Acetatifactor sp. RNAcentral's name for it is "NiCo riboswitch". It matches the Rfam family "NiCo (Nickel/Cobalt) riboswitch aptamer". The record is from RNAcentral. Lineage: Bacteria; Bacillati; Bacillota; Clostridia; Lachnospirales; Lachnospiraceae.
ACAGUACAAACUGAGCAGACCGUGAUAUCUUAUCAUGGAGUCGGGUCACUGAUGUGACAGUGGAAUCUUCAUCCACGGGACAGU